CUUAUACGGUCCAGGAUCACCGAUCAUUCACAGUUAAUGAUCCUUUCCAGGUUGUUGAUCUUAAAAGCCGGAUCCUUGUUAUCCACAGGGCAGUGCGAUCCUAAUAAGAGAUCACAAUAGAACAGAUCUCUAAAUAAAUAGAUCUUCUUUUUAAUACCCAGGAUCCCAGGUCUUUCUCAAGCCGACAAAGUUGAGUAGAAUCCACGGCCCGGGCUUCAAUCCAUUUUCAUACCGCGUUAUGCGAGGCAAUCACCAUGUUUUAUCCGGAUCC
Molecule: unclassified non-coding RNA, 271 nt
Filed under: Escherichia coli
Lineage: Bacteria; Pseudomonadati; Pseudomonadota; Gammaproteobacteria; Enterobacterales; Enterobacteriaceae
Description: partial miscellaneous RNA
Source: RNAcentral